UGGCUGCGGUAAUUUGACCGUGCUAAGGUAGCAUAAUCAAUAGUUUUCUAAUUUAAAACUGGAAUGAACGGCACGACGAAAAGUAAGCUUUAUUGAAAGUGAAGUUCGAAUUUUACUUCUAAGUGAAAAGGCUUAGAUUAUUGUAAGGGACGAUAAGACCCUAUAAAACUUAAUAAUGUUUAGUUUGUUAAAUUUAUAUGGUGAAGAGUUAAUUAAAUCGGGCUUUAUUUAGUUGGGGUGACUAAGAUAUAAAGAAUAGCUGUCUAGGUUAGACUAAUAAAAUAUAUUUUGUUAUUAAAUCCUUUACUGAAGAUUUAAAACUAAGUUACUUUAGGGAUAACAGCGUAAUUUUUUCUGAGAGUCCUUAUCGAAGAAAGUAGUUGCGACCUCGAUGUUGAAUUAAAAUUUUUGAUUAACGCAGCUGUUAAAGAAAUGGGUCUGUUCGACCUUUAAAAUUU
This 458-nucleotide ribosomal RNA is filed under the name Hippolyte pleuracantha. Its description in RNAcentral is "partial 16S ribosomal RNA". It matches the Rfam family "Bacterial large subunit ribosomal RNA", at positions 1928 to 2596 of the family's 2925-position model. Lineage: Eukaryota; Metazoa; Arthropoda; Malacostraca; Decapoda; Hippolytidae. The record is from RNAcentral.